Molecule: ribosomal RNA, 443 nt
Filed under: uncultured bacterium
Lineage: Bacteria
Description: partial 16S ribosomal RNA
Rfam family: Bacterial small subunit ribosomal RNA
Source: RNAcentral
UGGGAAUCUUCCGCAAUGGACGAAAGUCUGACGGAGCGACGCCGCGUGUAUGAUGAAGGUCUUCGGAUUGUAAAGUACUGUCAUUGGGGAAGAACGGUUUUCUUGAAAAGAUUGAGAAGACAUGACGGUACCCAAGGAGGAAGCCCCGGCUAACUACGUGCCAGCAGCCGCGGUAAUACGUAGGGGGCAAGCGUUGUCCGGAAUUAUUGGGCGUAAAGGGCGCGUAGGCGGGCCUUUAAGUCCGGUGUGAAAGAUCAGGGCUCAACCCUGAGAGUGCAUCGGAAACUGGAGGCCUUGAGGACAGGAGAGGAAAGUGGAAUUCCACGUGUAGCGGUGAAAUGCGUAGAUAUGUGGAGGAACACCAGUGGCGAAGGCGACUUUCUGGACUGUAACUGACGCUGAGGCGCGAAAGCGUGGGGAGCAAACAGGAUUAGAUACCCUGG